UUUUAUUAGAAAUAAUUAAUAAUACAAUCUGCUCAAUGAAUAAUUAAAUAGCCGCAAUUCUGUGCUAAGGUAGCAUAAUCAUUUGUCUUUUAAUUGAAGACUAGAACAAAAGAUUAAACAUUUUAAUUAAUUUAUUUUACUUAUAAAUUAUAAUUUAUUUUAAAUGUAAAAAAACAUUUUAAUAAAAGGAAGACGACAAGACCCUAUUGAACUUAACUUUAGUUAAACUGGGGCAGUUAAUUAAUUAAAAUUUUAAUUUAUAUUUUUAAAAAAUAUUGAUCCAAUAAAAAUGAUCAUUUAAUUAAGUUACCAUAGGGAUAACAGCGUUAUAAUAAUUUUAAGAUCUUAUUUAAAUUAAUUUUUGCGACCUCGAUGUUGAAUAAUAACCUAUAAUAUGCAAUAAUUUAAAAAGGAAGUCUGUUCGACUUUUAAAAAAUUACA
RNAcentral lists this ribosomal RNA (441 nucleotides) under Hatitia sp. MR428. RNAcentral describes it as "partial 16S ribosomal RNA". The record is from RNAcentral. Lineage: Eukaryota; Metazoa; Arthropoda; Arachnida; Araneae; Anyphaenidae.